Molecule: long non-coding RNA, 311 nt
Filed under: Phoenix dactylifera (date palm)
Lineage: Eukaryota; Viridiplantae; Streptophyta; Magnoliopsida; Arecales; Arecaceae
Description: long non-coding RNA (PDAC_LNC014769)
Source: RNAcentral
GGACACCUCUUUUUCUUGCAUGUGUGACAUGUGUCCUGGCAGGACGCCUCAUGGGGACACCUCACCCUCUUCUUGGCCUAUAAAUAGGCUACCCCUCAUCCUUCUUCUCUAAGACAUCAAGAGCACUAGAGAAAGAGAGUGAGAGGAGAGAGAAGCUCUAAAGGUGAAAGCCCAAGAAGGAGUUUUUGAGCUGUGAAGGUCCAUCUUCUUCCUUCUUCUCCCUUUCAGCCAACCUUCUGCCUCCCUGCGAGCUAGCACUCCCCGGAAAGCUGAUCAUUUUGAAGCUUCACGUGGACGAGUCAUCGAGGUCG